This 425-nucleotide ribosomal RNA is filed under the name uncultured bacterium. RNAcentral's name for it is "partial 16S ribosomal RNA". It matches the Rfam family "Bacterial small subunit ribosomal RNA", at positions 354 to 796 of the family's 1533-position model. The record is from RNAcentral.
GUGGGGAAUCUUGCGCAAUGGGCGAAAGCCUGACGCAGCCAUGCCGCGUGAAUGAUGAAGGUCUUAGGAUUGUAAAAUUCUUUCACCGGGGACGAUAAUGACGGUACCCGGAGAAGAAGCCCCGGCUAACUUCGUGCCAGCAGCCGCGGUAAUACGAAGGGGGCUAGCGUUGCUCGGAAUUACUGGGCGUAAAGGGCGCGUAGGCGGACAGUUUAGUCAGAGGUGAAAGCCCAAGGCUCAACCUUGGAAUUGCCUUUGAUACUGGCUGUCUUGAGUACGGGAGAGGUGAGUGGAACUCCGAGUGUAGAGGUGAAAUUCGUAGAUAUUCGGAAGAACACCAGUGGCGAAGGCGACUCACUGGCCCGUUACUGACGCUGAGGCGCGAAAGCGUGGGGAGCAAACAGGAUUAGAAACCCCGGUAGUCC